AACGAACGCUGGCGGCGUGCCUAACACAUGCAAGUCGUGCGGGAAAGUAGGGGCAACCCUGCAAGUACAGCGGCGCACGGGUGAGUAACGCGUAGGUAACCUGCCUUCGAGACUGGGAUAACCUGUCGAAAGACGGGCUAAUACCAGAUAAUGCCAUUGGGGUUGUGGCCUCGGUGGCAAAAGAUGGCCUCUGCUUGCAAGCUAUCACUCGAAGAUGGGCCUGCGCGCCAUUAGCUAGUUGGCGGGUAACGGCCCACCAAGGCAAAGAUGGCUAGCUGGUCUGAGAGGAUGGCCAGCCACACUGGGACUGAGACACGGCCCAGACUCCUACGGGAGGCAG
This 340-nucleotide ribosomal RNA is filed under the name uncultured Pseudomonadota bacterium. RNAcentral's name for it is "bacterial SSU rRNA". It matches the Rfam family "Bacterial small subunit ribosomal RNA", at positions 29 to 351 of the family's 1533-position model. The record is from RNAcentral. Lineage: Bacteria; Pseudomonadati; Pseudomonadota.